RNAcentral lists this ribosomal RNA (472 nucleotides) under uncultured bacterium. Its description in RNAcentral is "bacterial SSU rRNA". It matches the Rfam family "Bacterial small subunit ribosomal RNA", at positions 8 to 524 of the family's 1533-position model. The record is from RNAcentral.
AGAGUUUGAUCAUGGCUCAGAGCGAACGCUGGCGGCAGGCUUAACACAUGCAAGUCGAACGGGCUUCUUCGGAAGUCAGUGGCAGACGGGUGAGUAACACGUGGGAACGUGCCCUUCGGUUCGGAAUAACUCAGGGAAACUUGAGCUAAUACCGGAUACGCCCUUAUGGGGAAAGGUUUACUGCCGAAGGAUCGGCCCGCGUCUGAUUAGCUUGUUGGUGGGGUAACGGCCUACCAAGGCGACGAUCAGUAGCUGGUCUGAGAGGAUGAUCAGCCACACUGGGACUGAGACACGGCCCAGACUCCUACGGGAGGCAGCAGUGGGGAAUAUUGGACAAUGGGCGCAAGCCUGAUCCAGCCAUGCCGCGUGAGUGAUGAAGGCCUUAGGGUUGUAAAGCUCUUUUGUCCGGGACGAUAAUGACGGUACCGGAAGAAUAAGCCCCGGCUAACUUCGUGCCAGCAGCCGCGGUAAU